Molecule: ribosomal RNA, 548 nt
Filed under: Bacillus sp. (in: firmicutes)
Lineage: Bacteria; Bacillati; Bacillota; Bacilli; Caryophanales; Bacillaceae
Description: bacterial SSU rRNA
Rfam family: Bacterial small subunit ribosomal RNA
Source: RNAcentral
CGCUUUCCGUCCAGACGUAAUACAUGCAAGUCGAGCGGACAGAUGGGAGCUUGCUCCCUGAUGUUAGCGGCGGACGGGUGAGUAACACGUGGGUAACCUGCCUGUAAGACUGGGAUAACUCCGGGAAACCGGGGCUAAUACCGGAUGGUUGUUUGAACCGCAUGGUUCAAACAUAAAAGGUGGCUUCGGCUACCACUUACAGAUGGACCCGCGGCGCAUUAGCUAGUUGGUGAGGUAACGGCUCACCAAGGCAACGAUGCGUAGCCGACCUGAGAGGGUGAUCGGCCACACUGGGACUGAGACACGGCCCAGACUCCUACGGGAGGCAGCAGUAGGGAAUCUUCCGCAAUGGACGAAAGUCUGACGGAGCAACGCCGCGUGAGUGAUGAAGGUUUUCGGAUCGUAAAGCUCUGUUGUUAGGGAAGAACAAGUACCGUUCGAAUAGGGCGGUACCUUGACGGUACCUAACCAGAAAAGCCACGGCUAACUACGUGCCAGCAGCCCGCGGUAAUACGUAGGGGGGCAAGCGUUGUCCGAAUUAUUUGGGC